UUGUAAAAUGUGUGCCUGGCUGCAUGCACCUCCCCUUCACCUUUCUCAUAUCCUGAUUUUCCCCUUUCCUCUUUGGGUGGCAUUUCAGAGCUAUCUGAAGUACCUGGUCUGUAAUUAAGGGUAAAGCAAAGAAUGUCUUGGUCAUCUGGGAAGGCAGUCACCUCCAAAGGUGAGAGCAGGCGAGUCCUGCAGACUGACUCCUUGACUCAGGAUACUGGUCUUGACAGCAGAGGUGCAUAUCAAAGGUAUGAUUUCAGUGAACCCUGGCCUCUUUUGUUCCAGCUACCUGCCCUUUGUUGCAAAAACUCCUAUGUAUCCUAGUGCCUCCCUCUCCACCUCGGAACAGUUUCUCAGGGCUAUCUGAGUUGCUGUCUCCCAGGAUUAAGUCCUAAUUUUGCCACAAAUAUAACUUAACUCUCGGAGGAGUUCCCAUAGUGGCUCAGCUGAAACGAAUCCAACUAGGAACUGUGAGGUUGAGGGUCUGAUCCCUGGUCUCGCUCAGUGGGUUAAGGAUCUGGCAUUUCUGUGAGCUGUGAUAUAAGUCAUAGACACAGCUUAGAUCCUGUGUUGCUGUGGCUGUGGUGUAGGCCAGCAGCUGUAGCUCUGAUUCCCUGGGGACUUCCAUAUGCCAUGGGUGCAGCACUAAAAAACAAACAAACAAACAAAACCAAACAAACAAAAAAAAGAAGUCUCAACUUUCAGGUUGUGCAUUUAAAAAAUUUUUUUCAAUUAAAUUUUUUUUUGCUUUUUAUAGCUGCACCCAUGGCAUAUGGAAGUUCUUAGAGUAGUUGCAUGGUGACUUGGAAGUGGACAAUCUAGUGGCUAGUCUUGUCCUGCUUUUCAUUAAUCACAUUGUUGCUGGAGUUCAGCUUCUGUCUGCUGGUGCUGAAUUGAAAUGCAGAGAUAGAGUUUUGGAUAAAGGAGAAACAAUAGCUUUAUAGCUUUGCCAGGCAAAGGAGGGUCAUAGCAGGCUAAUGACUUAAAGACUGUGUCCCCCCCAUUAGAAAGAAUUGUGAGGAGUUUUAUAGUAAAAAGGAGAAGAACAGGUUUUCAGAUAGGAAUCGGGAUUGGGACAAACAUGCAUUUUUCUUUCUUUGGGAGAAUCUUAGUCAUCAAAGCUGGAGUCAGGAGAUCUAGGUAUGUUCAUGAGGUGGUCUUCUGGGGUUUUGUCCAGAAUAACACUACUUACAAAAAGGACAUAAUUGAUCAGAGAUUAGAACCAACUAGGAAAGUUGCUGAAAAACAUCAUGUGCUAAUAAUCUUUAACCUGUAAUCAAUUAUGCUCAGUGUGCCUUAUCUUUAGUUUAUGGGUGAUGGUGUUCAGGGGUGCAAUUAAGCCAGGAGAAUGACAAGGAAGGACUCUAAGCUGUUCAAUUUUAAAGUAUUCAUUUCUAAAAAAAGAUAAGAAAUGUAACUCUUCUCUUAAGUGUGUAAGAUGCCUAUAUUAUUAUGUGUAUCCCUUGAGAGGGAACCAGGAUUCUGUCCCAAGGCUGUAUGUACUAUUGUUGCUUGACUGAUCCAUCCUUGUCUUUGCAUCUCCUCCCUUCCCUGAUGAGCAACUGUCUGAACCUGUCCCUAGGAAUUCAGGGAAGGUCAUGAUGGCUGAACGAGGCCCAUUUCCUAAGAACAAGAAAUGGGGAACAUAGAAAAGUGUUUGCGCCCAUGAGCCCCACAGGGCCAUGUCUGGUUUCUACAUGACCCUGGUGGAAUCAGUCUCUACACCUGUUAAACUCUCUGCCUUCCUCUACCCUAAGAGCACUAUGACAAUGUGUUCUGUGUGAGCAGGUUAUGUCCACAGGUGACUCAUCAAGAAGUUAAGGCAAAACUAUUAAAGAAUAAGUCAGAGUGGUCCUCUUUCGUACUAAACCCUGAUUUUCAAAUGUAUCUCAUAUUAGUAAAACCUUUAAGAUAAACUGGUAAACACCCCUCCUGAAAAACCCCAAUUAAAACAAAAGCAAAAACUAAAACAAAAAAUCCAACCAAGCAAGCAAAGAACAAAACAAAACAAAAACAAAAUUGUAUUUAUCUUCCCCAUAAGAUCAGUAUUAAAAGAAAAAUAUGGUAACAAUGACGAUCAUAGGUAGGGAAAAUGUAACUCCUGUUUCCUAUUUAUAAAAUGGAAAUGGUAUGUACAUGCCAGUUGGUAUGUUUGUUUUUUGAGGUUAUGCAGAAGGGACUUACUGAGUAGAUGAAAGCAGAGGGAGGAAAACCACUAGGGAAGCAGAAGAGUCAAUGAGAUAGAAAUUGCACCAGAAAGCAGGACCUCAGAGUCAAAACAGAAGUGCAGAUUUUCAAAAUUAUUAAAGAAAGCAUUGAUCUUCCUGCAGGGCUUUGGCUGGAAGGGUGGAGACAACAUUAUUUAAAUCUCGAAGGACAGGGUGACUUCAUUUAAACUGGGGAUUUAAAUCAGUCUUGGGGAAUAGUCACAGUUACUAGAGGAUGAGAGAGGAAACAGUUAAACCCCAGUGCCUUGCAGCCAGCCCUGCAUUGGAGAAGUUGGAGGAUUAUAUCUUGGCACUAAUUUGUGAAUGUUAUAACUGAGCUCCCUGAAUGACAGAAUAACAAGCAACCCAAUUUACCCCUUCAGAUUAGAAAAGGGAAAAUGGCCCAAGGGCAGCAGAGUCUUUGAGUGAAGCCAGGCCUGUCAAUUUAGAAUGAUUUCUGUAGGUUUUUUUUUUUUUUUUUUGCGAGGUGAAAUCCUGGUAUUCCGCAGUAACUCUGAGGGUUUUCAACUCUUUCUCUCUCUCUUUCUUUCUCUCUCUCUCUCUUUCUUUAUUUCUUUCUUUCUUUUCCUCCCACUUUUUCUCUUAUUCACCUGAUAAGUCACUCCAUCAGACUUUUAAUACAACUGGCUAUGUCAUAGGAUUUUUCCUGGUAAACUUACUUCCACCUUUAACCAAUCCACCAUGGCUGUUCCAGUGGGCAAGUCUCAGCCAUGCUACUCACAUUGCCCAGUUUACCUAUAACCAUGCUUAGAGACAAUAUAGGAAAUGCUCAGCCCUUUUGCACUCUUUCUUGGUCUUUCAUUUUAUUUAUUUAUUUGGCCACACCCUCAGCAUAUGGAAGUUCCAUGGCCAGGGAUGAAAUCCGAGCCACAGCUGCAGCCUACACCACAGCUAUGGCAAAGCUGGAUCCUUAACCCACAGCACAGCUGGGCAAGGGAUCAAACCUGUGCCUCAGCAAUGACCCUAGAUGCUUCAGAGAUAAUGCCAGAUCCUUAACCCAUGGAGUCAUAGUGGGAACUCCUGUUUUUCAUUUAAAAUAUCCUUUCUCCAUUUGUUUCACACUUGGCAGUAUAUCCUGAUCUUGGUUUCAUUGUUUUUUUCUUCACCCUCCCACUCACAAACUAAUGAUUAGCUUGCAAUUUCUUAACCAGUUCCUAUUCUGCUGGAAUUGCAGAAUAGGAGAAAACUCAAAAAGAAUUUUCAUCUUUUUUUUUUUUUUUUUUUUUUUACUGGUUUUAGUUGUGCCAUAUGAUUUCAGGUUUUUUUGAACCAUUUGUGUAAUCUGUUUAAAAUUUUAUUAUUGUUAAGAGACAGCAUAAUACCAUAAUGGUCAUGUUGAGGCAACAUGGCUUUUAGGUUCCGUCACAUCUUUGAUGAGUUAUGGUAAUCAGUUUGUUAACAUCUAUAACCUCAUUUUUUUCUCUCUGUAACUAGUCUUUAACCCCUGCAUCAUAGAUUUCUGAAAACUUAAUAAGAUACGAAUUUGAAAUGGAAGCAACAUUAUUGAGACAUGCUAGCCAUUACUAUGACUACUACUUUCACUCCCACUAAUAUUGCCACAUUAAACUGUUUGGAAGCUAUGUUACUGCUCCUUUUCAAAGGAUUCUCAUUGCUGUGUAUAUGCUUUUUAGCAUUAAAAAAAAAUGGAUGAAUUGUGCCUUAAAUGCAUGUUCUUUGCUUUCACUAAAUAGACAGCAUACAGGUUGAAAAAGGCUAGAGACUUAUCUUGUCCUACAUCUGAUUUUUUUUUUUUUUUUUGAGUUGCUGUGCUAUGGAGUAAAACACGAGCAUGCCAAUAAAUUGAUGUCUCAACCUUUAGAGUUGAAAACUUGCUGUGGCUAAAGUCCCAAGGCUGGAUGCCUAUGGCCACAAGCAGCCAUAACUCUUUAACCCUCAGUUUCCAUGCAUGCUAUGAUGUGAUAGUUGGAAGGCCUUAGUCUAAGAGCAACUCUGCCAACAGAUGAUGAAUUUGGUAAAUUCUCUGCAUGUAACUAGUGUGUAUACUGUCAUAUGCACAUACAUUUUUGCUUGUAUAUUUAUUUUUAUUUUAUAUAUUUCAAUUGAGGAAUGAUUUAUGGAGUGUAUAGUAUUGAACUAAUCAUACCAAAGUUUUAAGAGAAUUGAUCAUUCUACUGUAUUGUGAGAAGGAGGGCAGUUUAUUAAAAUCAAACAGCAUUCAUUUUAGAGAAUAGUUAGAGAUUAUCUGUCAGAAGAAUUUAGUUGCCUGGUCCAUGAGAUAGUUAAGUAAUUAUUAUUGAAUUUAAUAUGUAAAUAAUAGUAUGUUUCAAGUCUUUAUUAAACUCAUUGGGUUUUCUGUACCACAUGAAGUACUUAAUAAAUGUUCCUUAAAGGAAUAUCUAUCUUGUAAAAAUGCUUUGAUCAUUUUUUAGGGAAAUGAGAUAAGUGGACAAUAUGGAGGGUGAGGUUUUAGAUUUAUUCGUUUAAAUUUUGUGUCAAAAUUAUUAUGGAAAGAGGCUAUGUUUUUUCAUAAAAGAUCUGGAGCAACCGUAGAGGCAGAAUUAUAAAGUGAAUGAAUUAUAAAUUGUGUUUUUAAAAAAGCAUCAUCUGGAGUGUCAUGGGAUGUUCCUUUGCCUUCUCAUAGAAACCAGUUUUCUCAUCUUUAUGUUUGGAAAUUACAAAUUACCGUCAACCUAUAGUGAACUUUUGCAGAUAUCAUUUUGUGCUUUAUAUAAUCCAGGAUACUGUACACUCCCUUUUGUCUUGUGUGCAGGCAUUUUCCCGCUGCAUUCCCACUAUUGUGAAGCUUUCCAUUGAGGGCACAUGUUUCUAUAUCCUAGUCUCAUUUUAUUUAAAUAUUCUGCUGUGGUUGAUUAACCACAAGCUAUAUAAGCAGUAAAAAGAAGGAAAAAGAAAUAACUUCAUACAGAAUUAUUGUCAAUAGAAGGUGACACAGGCUGAAGUAAUAAUAAAAGUUAAAUGGAGAAUAUAUCAAAUUAAUGUAUGGCAUAAUCCCAAACUCCAUGAAAGGUUUGGUUUACUGCGAUGUUAGGGGAAGCAAGUAUAGUCUUGAAAGGCUAGUUAUUUUUGAAUUCCUGAAGGGCAAAGUAACCUUUAUAUAAAAGCCACCUACUGAGAGACUAAGAUGAAAUUUUAGUAUGUCUGUGUAAUUUUCUUUGUAAUGAUGUUAUAACAGUCUACAUUCUUUAUAACAAAUAUGUAUAAGCAUAGAUUCAGGAAUAAACUAUGUCAUUAUCUGCUAUGGGAAGCUAAUAGGAAAUAAAGUGUUAUAAAGCAUGAAUUUAUAAAGCCUUGUCCAGAGGUAAGAAACAAUUCUGGAUUAUUGGCACUGAUUAUGUCAGUCAUUCACCAAAAAGAAAAUAAAUAAAUCAUCAAAUAUUAGAAAUGAUAGCACACCUGUUAAAGCUCAAGAAGAUAGUUACAGGUAAGUAAAAGAAUAUUUUAUUUUACUUAGUGGAGAAUAAACAUAAGAAAACUAUAACCCUAAUCGAGUAGCCACAAGUUGUUAUGGGAAGUGAUGGGUGUUAGGACCGNUUUUUUUUUUUUUUUUGUCUUUUGCCUUUUUAGGCCCACACCUGCGGCAUAUGGAAGUUCCCAGGAUAGGGCUUGAAUGGGAGUCAUUGCUGCUGGCUUAUGCCUGACCUAUAUCACAGCUCAUGGGAACGCCAGAUCCUUAACCCACUGAGUUAGGCCAGGGAUUGAACCUGCAACCUCAUUGUUCCUAGUCAGAUUCAUUUCUGCCGC
This 5948-nucleotide long non-coding RNA is filed under the name Sus scrofa (pig). RNAcentral's name for it is "lncRNA (ENSSSCG00050039581.1)". Lineage: Eukaryota; Metazoa; Chordata; Mammalia; Artiodactyla; Suidae. The record is from RNAcentral.